UUUCAUUUUAAAAGCUAAAACUUUGAUUAUUGUGACUGUUUUGAUUUCUUCAUCUUUCAUUUAAAUUUAAAGAGAUGUCAGAGUAUCCAAUUCCCAAUUCCCAAUUUCCUAAUCAAAAUCAGUGCACUGAUUGUGAUUGGUCUUUAUCAUUGUCAUCUGCGUUUCUCGUUUUGCAAGAAAUUUGUGAUGGUCCUUUUUAUGUGGAGAAAGCUGAUCUUGUUUCUAACAAUGGGUCAAGUUUGUUUUUCUCGUUUCGAGGAAAAAAGUUAAUCACCUAUAAGAAGCAGGGUAAAGAAUUUGCAUCAUUUAUCAAACACUAUGGAAAUGAAAAUGAUUGUAAAAAAGUGGUCAGUGAACUUAAUCAAUCUCGCUAUGGAACAACUUAUCCUAACCAGCCACCAUCAAACAGUUUUAGUAAUGGCCUCUUGCUUCAGCAAUUGAGCAGCCAGAGAACAAUAAAUGUCCCGUUUAAUUUUGCAAGCUCCUUGUACUAAUAUUUUCAUACAGCAAAUGUCCGAUCGAACCAAAAAAAAGUAAAAUCCUCUCUUGAGGGAACAAAUAGAUUUUUGAAACUUUUUAAGAACGUUAGAGUAUAAAAAAGAUCUCAUCCAUCCAUUGGUUAAGGAUGAUCCAAAGUUCCUGUUUACUUUAUUAUCUACACCAAAUUAAACUAAAGAAUCUUUUUUUUCAACAUUCGACACUGGACUUGGAUUAAGUUCUAAUUCAAUUCUAAUUUGCUCAACAAGAAUUUAACAUAUAAUUUUUCUUUCAUCCAAUUAUUUCUUAAUCCAAUUGGUAUUAAAUUAUUAUAAUAAUCAAUCCAAUGUUCACUCACCAUGAGCAGCGUCCAUAUCAGUAUGAUUAGUUGAAUACUGAUUACCUCUAUUGUUGCCUAGCCAAACAUCGUAACCUUGAUUAGCUAAAAACGUGGCUAAAUUGUUACCAGUGACCAAAGGCUUAUGCUUAUUAACCCAUGGAGAGUUAAUCAGCCAACAGGCUGUGGUCAAAGCUAAACCAUGGUCAAGGAAAACGGAUGUAAAUUGUUAAGCGGCCUGAACGAAUCGAUUGUGCAUCCAAAAGAGACAACAAUUAACAAGAAAAUUUCCUAAUAAGUUGAAUUUGGAUUGAUUAUAAAAAAGGCUUCCAAGCAAAGCGUAUAAAUUGUUUCCUUGUUUUAUUUUCUAUUCCUUUAAUUGUACCAACAGAAAAUGUCCAAAUAUUGUAUCAAGUUGAUCACUUUAAUCUUCUUUACUUGAUCGUCCAUUUUUCUUGUAAUCAAAUUGAUUCGCUCAUCAAUCGAUAAAUCAUUUUCUUUUUCAUUGUUAAUCAACUUCCGAAGCUCAUAAAUUAACUCUAUGAAUACCUGGAGAUCACUGAAGCUUCAAGGCCUAAUCAUAAUUAAGAAACAGAGAGAGAAAAAAAGUGAUUUAACUUUAAUUUCAUGAUGAAAUUUGAUUAACUUUGAUCGGUUAACACUCUUCACUAAACAUUUGAUCGACUGUUAAUCACUUUCCGUUGAAAAUUAACUUAAUUUCUUAUAAAACUAUCAGACAACAAUCAA
RNA transcript from Panonychus citri (citrus red mite), 1561 nucleotides. RefSeq lists it as uncharacterized. The transcript has 3 exons. The record is from RefSeq and is a predicted model, not a curated record. Lineage: Eukaryota; Metazoa; Arthropoda; Arachnida; Trombidiformes; Tetranychidae.